ACACGGACCAAGGAGUCUGGCAGGCAAACAAGUAUUUGAGUGCAAAACCCAAAUGCAAAGCGAAAGCAAAAAAAUUGCAGCAAUGCAAAUAAUUGAGCGUUCCUUUUUUUGCAAAAGGAUAGGCAGAAGUUUGUCUGCCGGGACCCGAAAGAUGGUGAACUAUGCCUGAGUAGAGUGAAGUCAGGGGAAACCCUGAUGGAGGCUCGAAGCGUUGCUGACGUGCAAAUCGCUCGUCAAACUUGGGCAUAGGGGCGAAAGACUAAUCGAACCAUCUAGUAGCUGGUUCCCUGCGAAGUUUCCCCCAGGAUAGCAAAGGCAACGCAGUUUGAUUUGGUAAAGAUAAUGAUUAGAGGAACUCGGGAUUUUAUAUUCUGGGCCUAUUCUCAAACUUUGAACGAGUCAUAGGGGUGGUUUCUUCACUGAACCACCCCAUAAAUGCUAGCCUUUAGUGGGCUGUUUUUGGUAAGCAGAAACGGCGAUGCGGGUUAAACCGGACGCCAGGUUAAGGUGCCUAAAGAUUGCUAAAAUAGAUUUGAAAGGCGUUAGUUCAUUAUGACAGCUGGACGGUGGUCACGGAGGUUGAAAUCCGCUAAGAAGUGUGUCACAACUUACCAGUCGAAUGAACUAGCCCUUAAAAUGGAUGGCGCUAAAGCAGUCUACCGAAACCUGGCCAUUUUGGUAUAUUCUGCCAAAAUGAGUAGCAGGGCAUGGGGUUUGUGUAGAAGCGUAGAUGUGAAUUUGCGUGAAACACUCCCCAGUGCAGAUCUUGGUGAUAGUAGCAAAUACUUGAAUGAUAAAUUCGAGGGCUGAAGUGGAGAAAGGUUCCAUGAGAACAGUAUUUGGUCAUGGGUUAGUCGAUCCUAAGACUACACGUAAAAAAUUCCAAAAUGGUCUAAACCCAGUGUAGUCGAAAGGGAAUCGGGCUAAUAUUCCCGAACCAAAACCCCUAAUUGGCAACAGUUCUUCUUCAAAGACGUUUGUAGCUGCAGCGAGAAGAGUCUUCUCUUCUUUUUAACAGGUGGUUUUCCUUGCAAACAGAUUGUCUGGAGGAAAGGAAAACUGUCUGGAAUAGCAUUGAAUUUUUAUCAAUGUUCGCAAAGCAGUUAUAAACACAUAAAAAUUUGAAGAAAUUGGGGUUUUGAUCGUACUCAUAACCGCAUCAGGUCUCCAAGGUGAACAGCCUCUAGCCAAUGGAAUAAUGCAGGUAAGGGAAGUCGGCAAAUUUGAUCCGUAACUUCGGGAAAUGGACUGGCUCUUGGGACUGGGUGAUGGCGAAGCCUCGUUUGUAUCCCCCUAGAUUGAAAUGAUUCUUUGAAUCAGAUCAUUUUGGUGAGGACGCAUUCUUUGUUUAGCCGCACAUGUAUCAGUCUGCCAAGAACUGAAACGGACAAGGGGAAUCCGACUGUGUAAUUACAACAAAGCAUUGCGACGGUCAUAACUGAUGUUGACGCAAUGUGAUUUCUGCCCAGUGCUCUGAAUGUUAACGAAAUGAAAAUUUCUGAAGCGCGGGUUAACGGCGGGAGUAACUAUGACUCUCUUAAGGUAGCCAAAUGCCUUGUCAUUUUAUUGGUGACGCGCAUGAAUGGAACAACGAGAUUCCCACUGUCCCUACCUGCGAUCCAGCGAAACCACAGCCAAGGGAACGGGCUUGGGAUUAUCAGCGGGGCAAGAAGACCCUGUUGAGCUUGACUCUAGUCUGACACUGUGCGAUAGCUCUGAGGAUGUAGCGUAAGAGGGAGAGCUUUGCUCGCCAAUGAAACACCUCUGCUUCGGACGCUGUUGCACUUACUCAGUUCACAACUGCAACUGUGCUAUGCACUUUAUUUUAAAGCGAAAGACUGGUAUUUAUAUCGGUCAAUGUUUGCCGGAGACAAUGUCAGGCCGGGAGUUUGGCUGGGGCGGCACAGCUGUAAAACAAUAACACAGCUGUCCCAAGAUUAGCUCUGUGAGAACAGAAAUCUCACUUUGAGUAGAAGGGCAAAAGCUAAUUUUAUUUUGAUUACCAGUAAUAAUACAAACUGUGAAAGCAUGGCCUAUAGAACCUUUAGUGGUUAGAAUUUAACGCUAGAGAUGUCAGAAAAGUUACCACAGGGAUAACUGGCUUGUGGCAGCCAAGCGUACAUAGCGACGUUGCUUUUUGAUUCUUCGAUGUCGGCUCUUCCUAUCCUUGCCUUGUAUUCGGGGCAAAUGGUAAGAUUGUUCACCUACUAACAGGGAACGUGAGCUGGGUUUAGACCGUCGCGAGACAGGUUA
This 2253-nucleotide ribosomal RNA is filed under the name Acetes chinensis (northern mauxia shrimp). RNAcentral's name for it is "eukaryotic LSU rRNA". It matches the Rfam family "Eukaryotic large subunit ribosomal RNA", at positions 659 to 2985 of the family's 3401-position model. Lineage: Eukaryota; Metazoa; Arthropoda; Malacostraca; Decapoda; Sergestidae. The record is from RNAcentral.